UCCUCGUCUUUUACUCUCUCCCUCUCUCUCUCUUAUUUUCAGAGAGUUUUUCUUGCGAAGAAAAAUGCCGGAUAAAACGCGAUUUCUUUCUCAAAAUCAAAAUCCAGAGAUCUCUUUCGAUUUACCGACCAAAUCAAAACCUUGCAUUCAGUAAUCUAAACCCAGAAAUUUCGAUCUAUUCUAUAAAAAUUUGAAGAAAAAAAAUCCUAAACCUAGAAAAUAAUUUUGUUCUUGAAAUCCAAAAUCAGUUCAUCUAAUAGUUGAUUUCUUUGUUGAUUAUCAUCAGGUUUUGUAGAAUACAAUUGUGGUUUUAAGGACUUGAAAAGUCGGGUAUUGACAUAUCGUGCAUGAAACGUGUUCAUCGCAGAGAGAGGUUGGAUCUUUUGUUCACAUGGACCUGAAGUGGUAAGAUUUAUGCAGGCUAUUUAUAUUAGGACUAAGAGAAACCAAGAUUGGGGAGUGGUCAAAACUGAUACAGGGUAAAUGAAGAAUGUAAGUUUGCGGAAAAGCAACCUUGCACAUACUAUUUACAAUGGCCCGAUCAAUUCUUUCCAGUACCCGAUUAUUUCCUUCUUGCUUGUUGGUCCAUGUAAAGUCGGGUCGAGAGAAUGACAUGUCUCUAAGGUCCUAAGCUAUCAUUAAACUUUCAACUAGUAUUUUUGUGUCGUUAUCAGAGAUAGAUCUCCUACCAUGAUGGUAGGGAUAUAUUAAUCAAAGGGGUUGUGUUAAAAACUCUGCCCAAUAGCUAGCUCUCAAAUUUGAUUUUGAUUCACCAUACACAAAAUAAAGGUCGCAUUUGGUGUUA
Papaver somniferum (opium poppy) is the source of this 805-nucleotide long non-coding RNA. RefSeq lists it as uncharacterized. Lineage: Eukaryota; Viridiplantae; Streptophyta; Magnoliopsida; Ranunculales; Papaveraceae. The record is from RefSeq and is a predicted model, not a curated record. The transcript is spliced from 4 exons.